RNAcentral lists this long non-coding RNA (258 nucleotides) under Brachypodium distachyon (stiff brome). Its description in RNAcentral is "long non-coding RNA (BDIS_LNC002067)". Lineage: Eukaryota; Viridiplantae; Streptophyta; Magnoliopsida; Poales; Poaceae. The record is from RNAcentral.
GACACCAAUGCAUGUAAUGGUGCCCCUUCCCCUUUAUAAAUAUAUCUUCAAUCAAUAAAACAAAGACAAGAAUUUCAUUCUAACACGUUAUCAGCCACGUUUGUUCUACAAUCACAAAGAAGAGAAGAGAGGUGAGAAUCAUGGCAUCCUAUGAUCUGCCCCAAGUUCUCGUGGAAUGCUUGAGUUCUUGGGCAAGCCGCCGGGGAACUUACCGCCGCCGCUGGGCUCGCCGCCGGUGGACCCCACGCCGCCAAUCGC